GUCCACGCCGUAAACGAUGAACGCUAGCCGUUGGAUAGCUUGCUAUUCAGUGGCGCAGCUAACGCAUUAAGCGUUCCGCCUGGGGAGUACGGCCGCAAGGUUGAAACUCAAAGGAAUUGACGGGGGCCCGCACAAGCGGUGGAGCAUGUGGUUUAAUUCGACGCAACGCGCAGAACCUUACCAGGGUUUGACAUCCUGUGCUCGCCGGUGAAAGCCGGUUUUCCCGCAAGGGACGCAGAGACAGGUGCUGCAUGGCUGUCGU
This 262-nucleotide ribosomal RNA is filed under the name uncultured bacterium. RNAcentral describes it as "partial 16S ribosomal RNA". It matches the Rfam family "Bacterial small subunit ribosomal RNA", at positions 793 to 1055 of the family's 1533-position model. The record is from RNAcentral.